GGGGUUAUAGCUCAACUGGUAGAGCGCCAGCUUUGCAAGCUGGAUGUUAGGAGUUCGAGUCUCCUUAGCUCCAGGA
RNAcentral lists this transfer RNA (76 nucleotides) under Fibrobacter succinogenes subsp. succinogenes S85. RNAcentral's name for it is "tRNA-Ala". It matches the Rfam family "tRNA". From Rfam's summary of the family: Transfer RNA (tRNA) molecules are approximately 80 nucleotides in length. The record is from RNAcentral. Lineage: Bacteria; Pseudomonadati; Fibrobacterota; Fibrobacteria; Fibrobacterales; Fibrobacteraceae.